Long non-coding RNA from Saccostrea cuccullata (small rock oyster), 455 nucleotides. RefSeq lists it as uncharacterized. The transcript has 2 exons. NCBI's taxonomy places the organism in Eukaryota, Metazoa, Mollusca, Bivalvia, Ostreida, Ostreidae. The record is from RefSeq and is a predicted model, not a curated record.
UAGACUUCCCGGUCAAGUGUUAUAGUUGUCAAAAUGUCAAUAACAGUGUUCCUCAAGACCCUACAUGAAGAUGGUAGAAUGGAUACAAUCAUAGUCAAACCGAAUGAUACGACGGAAACAUUAUACGAGAAUUGGGAUACUGAAUUUAAAUAUUCAUUCGAAGUUGUACGCUUUCUUUUCGAAGGACGUCAGCUAAAACCAGGCAGAAAACUCUCAGAUUACAACAUUAAAGAUAAAUCAACUAUACAACUUGCUCUCAGCCUUAGAGGAAGUUGAUUCUGAACAAAAUAGCUUGAGUUUGCUUGCAGCUUUUGUGUAAAUAUAACUUUUGAUCACUUGCUUGAGUUGAGCCUCGAUGUGAAAAAUUUGCUUUAAUAAACCAAUUUCUAAUUACAAGUACAUGUACAUAUAUCUUAAUUCAUACUGCAUGAGUCAUUUAAACGUUAAAUUAAAAA